CUAUCGACUUCCGAUACCUAAACAAAGUAACUCUGAAGACGACGCGGAUCACAACUUUCUGAAAUUAUAUUUUAAAUGAUUUAAAAUAAAAGUCUUUUGAAACUUGGAGCAUUAAAGAUACGCAGAAGAGUCGGAUAUUAGAUCUGAGUGAAUAUCAUCUAAUUCAAUAUAAGUGCAUAGUUUAUAAAUCCAAAAUGAUGCCAAUUACCAGGACGCAGAUAAUGAACGUAAAAACAGUCGAGAGAUCCCAUGGAUAGUGCAGCCAGCAGCCCAGAGGCGGAUUCGGAUUUCCUACUGCCCCUAUUAAAUGGGCAUCGGUCGGCUCAAUCGUUAGUGUCGACGAGAGAGGCCUGAAUGUUCCUGGAUGAUGCUGCACACUGGAUAUGGAGCUGGGUAAAUGAUUAGGUCGCCUGGCAGGCCAGAGAUUCCUGAUUCCCGAUGCCCGAUGCCCGAUGCCCGACUGCUGAAGCUAAAGCGCUGAAUCGAAAUCAAAUUAAACUCGGUGGUGUUUGGUGUUUCUCCCAGUUGCGUGGAUGUGGACUGGACGAGCGGAGGACUGGACGAUGACGAUGAAGGAGGAGGAACGCAUUGUAUAUUUUGCAAUUUGAACAGCCGCUAGUUGCCGGCACACAGACGUUUAUAAUUCGCAGAGGUGUGCGUGGUGG
This is a long non-coding RNA of Drosophila erecta, 665 nucleotides long. RefSeq lists it as uncharacterized. The transcript is spliced from 3 exons. The record is from RefSeq and is a predicted model, not a curated record. Lineage: Eukaryota; Metazoa; Arthropoda; Insecta; Diptera; Drosophilidae.